Molecule: ribosomal RNA, 253 nt
Filed under: uncultured bacterium
Lineage: Bacteria
Description: partial 16S ribosomal RNA
Rfam family: Bacterial small subunit ribosomal RNA
Source: RNAcentral
UACGAAGGGGGCUAGCGUUGUUCGGAAUUACUGGGCGUAAAGCGCGCGCAGGCGGUUCUUUAAGUCAGGGGUGAAAGCCCAGAGCUCAACUCUGGAAUUGCCUUUGAAACUAGAGAACUUGAGUACGGGAGAGGUGAGUGGAAUUCCGAGUGUAGAGGUGAAAUGCGUAGAUAUCAGGAGGAACACCUGUGGCGAAAGCGGCUCACUGGACCAUAACUGACGCUGAUGCACGAAAGCUAGGGGAGCAAACAGG